RNAcentral lists this ribosomal RNA (457 nucleotides) under uncultured bacterium. RNAcentral's name for it is "partial 16S ribosomal RNA". It matches the Rfam family "Bacterial small subunit ribosomal RNA", at positions 338 to 795 of the family's 1533-position model. The record is from RNAcentral.
CCUACGGGAGGCAGCAGUGGGGAAUAUUGCACAAUGGGGGAAACCCUGAUGCAGCGACGCCGCGUGAGUGAAGAAGUAUUUCGGUAUGUAAAGCUCUAUCAGCAGGGAAGAAAUAAAGUCCUUCGGACUUUGGACGGUACCUGACUAAGAAGCCCCGGCUAACUACGUGCCAGCAGCCGCGGUAAUACGUAGGGGGCAAGCGUUAUCCGGAUUUACUGGGUGUAAAGGGAGCGUAGACGGCAGCGCAAGUCUGGAGUGAAAUCCCAUGGCUUAACCAUGGAACUGCUUUGGAAACUGUGCAGCUGGAGUGCAGGAGAGGUAAGCGGAAUUCCUAGUGUAGCGGUGAAAUGCGUAGAUAUUAGGAGGAACACCAGUGGCGAAGGCAGCUUACCAAACUACGACUGACGUUGAGGCACGAAAGCGUGGGGAGCAAACAGGAUUAGAUACCCUAGUAGUC